CUUUCUUUGCUGGCGACCGGCGCACGGGUGAGUAACACGUAUCCAACCUGCCCUUUACUCGGGGAUAGCCUUUCGAAAGAAGAUUAAUACCCGAUAGUAUAAUGAUUCCGCAUGGUUUCAUUAUUAAAGGAUUCCGGUAAAGGAUGGGGAUGCGUUCCAUUAGGUUGUUGGUGAGGUAACGGCUCACCAAGCCUUCGAUGGAUAGGGGUUCUGAGAGGAAGGUCCCCCACAUUGGAACUGAGACACGGUCCAA
Molecule: ribosomal RNA, 253 nt
Filed under: uncultured bacterium
Lineage: Bacteria
Description: partial 16S ribosomal RNA
Rfam family: Bacterial small subunit ribosomal RNA
Source: RNAcentral